Long non-coding RNA from Felis catus (domestic cat), 2071 nucleotides. RefSeq lists it as uncharacterized. Lineage: Eukaryota; Metazoa; Chordata; Mammalia; Carnivora; Felidae. The transcript has 4 exons. The record is from RefSeq and is a predicted model, not a curated record.
CGGCCUGCGCAGCCUUCCCUCUUGAGGCGCCGGCGAGGCUCGGGCCUGCGCAGUGCUACCCUGGUGCCUGAACCUAGGACGCACAGGCCGCGUGGCAGUCACCGCCUUUUGGGCACCGUGAGGCUUUGCAAUCGAGUGGAAAAAUCAAGUGGAAGAAGAGCUUUCUCUUCAGCACAGGAUUUAAAGAAGUAAAAAUAAGGAUGCCAUUGAAGCUAUUUCAGAUGAAUUCUAAUGUACCUACUAAAGACCCAGGUGUGCUUUCCUCAGCCCCAUAUUUUCAAAUGUUUCCUUGAGUCAUGAACCCAGUGGACUUGGAGUUAACCUAUGUCCCACAGAGCAGGCCUUGGGAGAAUACUGAGCUGCCAUACUGAUGGAUUAUUGGGGCUGCUUCCAAAGCUAUUUGGACAGAACCUCUCAAGCAUCUGGCUGAGCUGAGGGAUGAGUGGCUACACACAUGUGUGCUUACUGAGAGUUUGGGAAGCUAUAAUGAAAGAGCCCCUUCACCACACUGUUACAGGAGCAGAAACCAAAUGCAUUAUCAAUAAUGGCCAGAAAAUCAGACUCUGGGAGCAGCACACAAGAAUCUGUUCAACAAACCCUACAGGGGAUUCUAAUGCUCCGCAAGAUUAGAAAACCUCUAAUAUAGUAUUAUGCAAAUUGUUUUCCCUGAGAUUACAUUUUGGAUGUCCAUUUCAAUAGCUGAUCUAAAACUCUUAAAUAGGAAAAAGGCAACACAAACUGCUGGAGAUUGAAUGUGACAAAGCAAGUACUGGAACUAAAAGGUUUUGGAGAUUUAAUCUAGCAUCCUGUUUCUCAUGCAGAAGAAUGCCUCAUGCAUUGCAGAAAUUUCCCAAUGUUUCACAUUCAUGGAAAGAAAUAUUAAGUAUAUUUUUUUUAUUUUUCCCAUCUUUUUUCUUUAGAUUGCAGAGAGUAAAAUUCCAAAUUUAUACGUGUGUGUGUGUGUGUGUGUGUGUGUGUGUGUGUGUGUGUGUAUACCAAUUUCAACUUAAUUCCUAAAGGAGAAAAAAGAGACUAAAUGUAGACAAAAUUUGAUAACCAAUUUACCCUUCAUAUGCUAAAUCCUUAACUUGUUCUCUGCUUAGGUGCCGAACAAGGAUUUAUGUGUCCAAAAAUAUUCAACUCACUUGACACUUUACAUUAAGAAAAAACAGCAGGCUUCUCAUUCAGUGAGACUCUGCUCCAUGGCUAUUUAUAAAUGAAGUAGAAUAACAAAUCAUUAGGACAUGUUUGAGAUUGGGGAGGGAAAGGCAUGAAUAACUACUGUUAGUAUAUUUCAUGUGUCAGUCUACUAUCUCACCAUUUAUAGAGCCCACAGGAGGAAAUUUUUUUGAUAUUUCUUUCCAGUUAAAACCAGCUGGUAAAAUUUAUAGCUUUUUUGGUUCAUAGAAAACUAUGGCCUUUGUAAAGGAAGGGUGUUAGACUUCAAGUAAGUAAAAGAGUAAAUGAUAUUAUCAAAAAAAUAUUACUUUUCAACUUAUUUUAUACUGGUUCUAUAUCACAGUCUAAUUUCAAUGUUUCUCCAGAACCUGCUAAAAUAGAAAAAGAAAUCAUAUUGGAAAAUUAGAUUAGUCUUACAGAAUGAAUAUCUCAAGAAGGAACAGUUUUUCUGUGUUAGAUGCAGCUGUGUUUAGAUGAAGUCAAGUUGUACCUGCACACAAAUGUUCCUUAACAAAACAACGUACUUAUUAACUAAGAUAAAUCUUACUCAGGAAGAUCUGUUAUAUCUUACUCUAUAUCAACUCUGAAUAUUAUCUAUUAUAUGGAAUGUUUUUUCCAUACAAUAGACACUAGGAAAAUAGAAAAAGAAGCUAAUUUGGGGUUACUUAUCAAGUGACACAUUUGGGAAACCAUAGAAUAAAUUUCAGGAUGCUUAUUGUGAUGGGAUGAAGAUUCUUACAGCAUGAGAGGAUUCUAGUAGUCUGGCAAUGCUCUAUGUCUUAACCUGACUGGUUACUUUGUGAAAAUCAGCAAACUAUAUUCUUGGUAUACGUUCUAUACAUUUGUUGCAUUUCACAGUAAAAAAAAAAAAAAAGAGAGAGAGAGAGAGAGA